RNAcentral lists this ribosomal RNA (790 nucleotides) under uncultured bacterium. Its description in RNAcentral is "bacterial SSU rRNA". It matches the Rfam family "Bacterial small subunit ribosomal RNA", at positions 561 to 1349 of the family's 1533-position model. The record is from RNAcentral.
UAAAGAGCUCGUAGGCGGUUUGUCGCGUCUGCUGUGAAAUCCCGAGGCUCAACCUCGGGCCUGCAGUGGGUACGGGCAGACUAGAGUGCGGUAGGGGAGAUUGGAAUUCCUGGUGUAGCGGUGGAAUGCGCAGAUAUCAGGAGGAACACCGAUGGCGAAGGCAGAUCUCUGGGCCGUAACUGACGCUGAGGAGCGAAAGGGUGGGGAGCAAACAGGCUUAGAUACCCUGGUAGUCCACCCCGUAAACGUUUGGAACUAGUUGUGGGGUCCAUUCCACGGAUUCCGUGACGCAGCUAACGCAUUAAGUUCCCCGCCUGGGGAGUACGGCCGCAAGGCUAAAACUCAAAGGAAUUGACGGGGACCCGCACAAGCGGCGGAGCAUGCGGAUUAAUUCGAUGCAACGCGAAGAACCUUACCAAGGCUUGACAUAUACGAGAACGGGCCAGAAAUGGUCAACUCUUUGGACACUCGUAAACAGGUGGUGCAUGGUUGUCGUCAGCUCGUGUCGUGAGAUGUUGGGUUAAGUCCCGCAACGAGCGCAACCCUCGUUCUAUGUUGCCAGCACGUAAUGGUGGGAACUCAUGGGAUACUGCCGGGGUCAACUCGGAGGAAGGUGGGGAUGACGUCAAAUCAUCAUGCCCCUUAUGUCUUGGGCUUCACGCAUGCUACAAUGGCCGGUACAAAGGGCUGCAAUACCGUGAGGUGGAGCGAAUCCCAAAAAGCCGGUCCCAGUUCGGAUUGAGGUCUGCAACUCGACCUCAUGAAGUCGGAGUCGCUAGUAAUCGCAGAU